AUUGAACGCUGGCGGCAGGCUUAACACAUGCAAGUCGAGCGGGGGAAGGUAGCUUGCUACCGGACCUAGCGGCGGACGGGUGAGUAAUGCUUAGGAAUCUGCCUAUUAGUGGGGGACAACAUCUCGAAAGGGAUGCUAAUACCGCAUACGUCCUACGGGAGAAAGCAGGGGAUCUUCGGACCUUGCGCUAAUAGAUGAGCCUAAGUCGGAUUAGCUAGUUGGCGGGGUAAAGGCCUACCAAGGCGACGAUCUGUAGCGGGUCUGAGAGGAUGAUCCGCCACACUGGGACUGAAACACGGCCCAGACUCCUACGGGAGGCAGCAGUGGGGAAUAUUGGACAAUGGGGGGAACCCUGAUCCAGCCAUGCCGCGUGUGUGAAGAAGGCCUUAUGGUUGUAAAGCACUUUAAGCGAGGAGGAGGCUACUUUAGUUAAUACCUAGAGAUAGUGGACGUUACUCGCAGAAUAAGCACCGGCUAACUCUGUGCCAGCCGCCGCCGUAA
Molecule: ribosomal RNA, 501 nt
Filed under: uncultured bacterium
Lineage: Bacteria
Description: partial 16S ribosomal RNA
Rfam family: Bacterial small subunit ribosomal RNA
Source: RNAcentral